GUCGUCCCACCCCCACUCCAGCGGCCAGACAAACCCUAGCCCCCUUUAUCCACGCGCCCCAGCUGCUUGACGCCUCCCUCCCCGUCCUCCUGCAUCUCCCUUCACUCCCUCGCCGGCCGCUGCCGUCGCCACUCCACCUCCCUCCUCCCGGAUCAGAUGCAGGUCAUCGCCCUGGGGGAGCAGGGCGGCGCGGUCUUCAUGACAGGGUUGCAGGGGCCGGGACUGUGAGGAGGCUAACGGCGGGUGCAUGUAUUGCAGGAUAGAGGAGAGGCCGGUGUGGGGCGCAAGGAGCAGCAGGGACAGAACGGUGCUCGCUCGCCGAAUGUUGGCCCUCGGAUGAAUUCGACGCUUUAAUCGAGCUGACGAGCCCCAUGAGCAGAUCUAUAUUUUUGUUGGCACUAAAAGUGAAAACGAAUUUGGGACCAAAACUUUUCAAAUAGCUCUGAAUAUAAAUUGUGACCUUGUGCUGUCUGGGGUGGAGCUACAAGGGGUGAGACACGGAUAAAAAUACGAGAAGGAGCAUGCCAUCGAGGAGUGCAAGCAGCGGGACUCCUCCGCAAUGGGGUAUGGCUGCAGGGAAGGGGACGCGGCCAACGACACGAAGAAGGAGCAGGUCGUCGAGGACUACAAGCAGCAGGAUUAUUUUUGGCCCAUACAGUUUCCUUUGACUAGAAGUCUGAAACUGAAGAUAGGGUAUUGUUUUGGUUCUGAGUGGCCGGAGAUAUUGUGGCUUGAUGUCCCUAGAGCAGUCGGACCCUUCCAAGAUAGAAGAUCUUUGGGAUUGACGUUCUGAUGAGAAAGUAGCAUACAGAUGGAUGGACAUGAACUAUUCAGUGGUCGAGCUACGCUAUAUUUCUUUCAUUGAGGCGAGGGUGAUUCCAGUAGGUGAGGUGUAUUUUAGACAUCCGGAUGUCUUGCUAUGUUCAGGUGGUACCAUGUCUAAAUUAAGAUUUCCCUUGCAGAUUUUGCUUGGCGUACUCGCCUUUUUUCUUGAAGUUGGGUGUCCGUCUUCUCUACAGCAAGGAUCUGGGGAGUCGGAUUGUGGAUUACAUGUAGUGGGGAAGUAGAGAGGGGGACGAGGAAGAGGACACCGUCGGUGGCGUGCUAUAUCUCACUAGGCGGCAAUGUGGAGAGGGUGCCUGGCAUCAAGAACCCGACAUGCUUUUCCGAGUGUUCGUUGAGAUCUAUGUUGUCGCGGCAACACAGGCCAAUGCACAUUCAGGAAAUAUGUCACCAACUUCCCCAAGGUCCCGCAUCGUCUACUCAGGUUAAUUCUCGGUCUACAACCUCCAAAACUUGCAGUUCUAUUUUUCAAAAUGGUUAAGCACUCAUUGUGUCAGAUUUCGGGUUCCGGCAGACCCUCAAGGUUCGAACUCUGGGGUGCGCGCGGAGAUCACACCUCCUACCUACUCACGUCUCGUUGCCUCGCAAGGAUCUAAACUACAUGAAGAACAACACAAGGGACACGAGGUUUAUACUAGUUCGGUCCACCAUUGUGGUGUAAUACCCUACUCUAGUUUGUGGUGUGGUGGAUUGCCUCAGGGGCUGAUGAUGAACAAUACAAAGGAAGAACUGCCUCGCGAGGAGAGGAGUUCUUGUGGAGGCGAUGCCUCUUGGGAAGGAUUGAAUCCGGAUCCCUUUCUUCUGUGGUGGAUAGCCUUAUUUAUAGAGCGAGGCCUUGGUCCUCUUCCCAAAUAUUGAGCGGGAAGGGCACCAACAAUUGACCAUUUUGAAGGGGAACAUAUAGUACACUUAUCCUGGCUAAAGUCGGUCCUCGCCUGCCAAAGACUCUGAUGGUGACGCCGGCUUGGGCUCCACGAUGACCUCCAUCCUGCUGUUCUGCUGGUCUUGGUCUUGUUGCACCGAAAUGGUUGCCUUUGCUUGAUACUCUUGCCUGCGCUUGCCCCCUUUGUACCAAAGAGGAAACAAGGACUCGGUGCAGGCCGGCGCCCGCCAGGCGCCCUCCUGGCUUCGGUCAUCAUGGUUUGCAUCAUGGGCACCUCGUGAGGUACCCUGCCUUGAUCUCUCCGCCUUCUCGUGAGCCAGCCUGACGAGGCUGUGCCUGAGGAAGCUUCCUGUUGUCCGCCCCAUGAGGCUUGCCCCUCGCGAGGGUCUUGAGCAUGUGUUAAUGAAGAUGGGACGUACUGGGCCACUCC
Triticum aestivum (bread wheat) is the source of this 2156-nucleotide long non-coding RNA. RefSeq lists it as uncharacterized. NCBI's taxonomy places the organism in Eukaryota, Viridiplantae, Streptophyta, Magnoliopsida, Poales, Poaceae. The transcript is spliced from 7 exons. The record is from RefSeq and is a predicted model, not a curated record.